This 338-nucleotide ribosomal RNA is filed under the name uncultured Entrophospora. Its description in RNAcentral is "SSU rRNA". It matches the Rfam family "Eukaryotic small subunit ribosomal RNA", at positions 569 to 905 of the family's 1831-position model. The record is from RNAcentral. Lineage: Eukaryota; Fungi; Glomeromycota; Glomeromycetes; Entrophosporales; Entrophosporaceae.
AGCAGCCGCGGUAAUUCCAGCUCCAAUAGCGUAUAUUAAAGUUGUUGCAGUUAAAAAGCUCGUAGUUGAAUUUCGGGAUUGGCGCAUCGGUCGUGCCUUACGGGGUAUGAACUGGUGCAGUCAAUUUCUCACCUUCUGGAGAACCGCGAUGUCCUUAAUUGGGUGCCGCGGGGAACCCAGGACCUUUACUUUGAAAAAUUAGAGUGUUUAAAGCAGGCAUUUUUGCUUGAAUACAUUAGCAUGAAAUAAUAAAUAGGACGGCAUGGUUCUAUUUUGUGGUUUCUAGGUACCACCGUAAUGAUUAAUAGGGAUAGUUGGGGGCAUUAGUAUUCAAUUGU